GACGAACGCUGGCGGCGUGCUUAACACAUGCAAGUCGAACGGAAAGGCCCUGCUUGCUGGGUACUCGAGCGGCGAACGGGUGAGUAAUACGUGGGUGUUUUGCCCUGCACUUCGGGUUACGUCCGGGAAACUGGGUUUAAUCCCGGUUCGGCGCGAUGUUUAGAGUGAUGGUUGGAAAGUUUUUUCGGUGUCGGAUGAGCUGGCGGCCUAUUAGCUUGUUGGUGGGGUAAUGGCCUACCAAGGCGGCGACGGGUAGCUGGCCAGAGAGGGUGGUCGGCCACAUUGGGACUGAGAGACGGCCCAGGCGCCGACGGUAGGCAGCAGGGGGGAAGAUUGCACAAGGGGCGCAGGCUUGGUGCAGCGGCUCCGCGGAUUGGAUGACGGCCUUCGGGUGGAGAACGCGUAGCACGAGGGACGAAGCUUGUUGUGACGUUACCUAGAUAAGAAGCACCGGCUAACUACGUG
This 465-nucleotide ribosomal RNA is filed under the name uncultured bacterium. RNAcentral describes it as "partial 16S ribosomal RNA". It matches the Rfam family "Bacterial small subunit ribosomal RNA", at positions 28 to 507 of the family's 1533-position model. The record is from RNAcentral.